RNAcentral lists this ribosomal RNA (482 nucleotides) under uncultured bacterium. RNAcentral's name for it is "bacterial SSU rRNA". It matches the Rfam family "Bacterial small subunit ribosomal RNA", at positions 29 to 507 of the family's 1533-position model. The record is from RNAcentral.
AUUGAACGCUGGCGGAAUGCUUUACACAUGCAAGUCGAGCGGCAGCGCGGGGCAACCUGGCGGCGAGCGGCGAACGGGUGAGUAAUACAUCGGAACGUGCCCAGACGUGGGGGAUAACUACUCGAAAGAGUGGCUAAUACCGCAUACGAUCUAAGGAUGAAAGCGGGGGAUCGAAAGACCUCGCGCUAUUGGAGCGGCCGAUGGCAGAUUAGCUUGUUGGUGGGGUAAAGGCUUACCAAGGCAACGAUCUGUAGCUGGUCUGAGAGGACGACCAGCCACACUGGGACUGAGACACGGCCCAGACUCCUACGGGAGGCAGCAGUAGGGAAUUUUGGACAAUGGGCGAAAGCCUGAUCCAGCAAUGCCGCGUGAGUGAUGAAGGCCCUCGGGUUGUAAAGCUCUUUUGGUAGGAACGAAAAGGUCUGUGCUAAUACCACGGAACGAUGACGGUACCUGCAGAAUAAGCACCGGCUAACUACGUG